Molecule: ribosomal RNA, 400 nt
Filed under: uncultured bacterium
Lineage: Bacteria
Description: bacterial SSU rRNA
Rfam family: Bacterial small subunit ribosomal RNA
Source: RNAcentral
UAAGGAAUCUUCCACAAUGGGGGCAACCCUGAUGGAGCAACGCCGCGUGCAGGAUGAAGGCUUUCGGGUCGUAAACUGCUUUUAUGAGUGAAGAAUAUGACGGUAACUCAUGAAUAAGGAUCGGCUAACUACGUGCCAGCAGCCGCGGUCAUACGUAGGAUCCAAGCGUUAUCCGGAGUGACUGGGCGUAAAGAGUUGCGUAGGUGGUCCGUAAAGCGAAUAGUGAAAUCUGGUGGCUCAACCAUCAAUCCAUUAUUCGAACUCACGGACUCGAGAACAGCAGAGGUAACUGGAAUUUCUGAAGUAGGGGUAAUAUCCGUAGAUAUCAGAAGGAACACCAAUGGCGUAGGCAGGUUACUGGGCUGUUUCUGACACUGAGGCACGAAAGCGUGGGGAGCGA